AGAGUUUGAUCCUGGCUCAGAUUGAACGCUGGCGGCAUGCCUUACACAUGCAAGUCGAACGGUAACAGGUUAAGCUGACGAGUGGCGAACGGGUGAGUAAUAUAUCGGAACGUGCCCAAUCGUGGGGGAUAACGCAGCGAAAGUUGUGCUAAUACCGCAUAAGAUCUACGGAUGAAAGCGGGGGAUCGCAAGACCUCGCGCGAGUGGAGCGGCCGAUAUCAGAUUAGCUAGUUGGUGGGGUAAAGGCCCACCAAGGCGACGAUCUGUAGCUGGUCUGAGAGGACGACCAGCCACACUGGGACUGAGACACGGCCCAGACUCCUACGGGAGGCAGCAGUGGGGAAUUUUGGACAAUGGGCGCAAGCCUGAUCCAGCAAUGCCGCGUGCAGGAUGAAGGCCUUCGGGUUGUAAACUGCUUUUGUACAGAGCGAAAAGGUCUCCUCUAAUACGGGAGGCUCAUGACGGUACUGUAAGAAUAAGCACCGGCUAACUACGUGCCAGCAGCCGCGGUAAUACGUAGGGUGCAAGCGUUAAUCGGAAUUACUGGGCGUAAAGCGUGCGCAGGCGGUUAUAUAAGACAGAUGUGAAAU
RNAcentral lists this ribosomal RNA (590 nucleotides) under uncultured bacterium. RNAcentral describes it as "bacterial SSU rRNA". It matches the Rfam family "Bacterial small subunit ribosomal RNA", at positions 8 to 600 of the family's 1533-position model. The record is from RNAcentral.